UUCAGGCUGAUGGCUGUUUACCUUGCCUACGUGCUUGGUUUGUGGUCAUCUAGUUCGGUGAUCUCGGGAAUGUCAACCGUAAAGGUGCAUGAGUGGUGUUUGGUUUGUUACGGGUGGUUGGCUCUUUGCUUGCGCAACAACUUCCACCUGGCAUACCUCUUCAGUUAUGUGUCAGUGCUUGUAUCGCACUGAACACACCGUGGGUUUCUUGUGUUGCAUGCCUAACCGAUGGUAUCGCUUGUCGAUCGAUGUCUAUUUUCGUCUUGCGUCGCACAUGCGAUGCCAGAUGAACCAUAAAGCAGCCUUUGUGAUCCACUAUUUCGGUGCGCAUGCAUAGAUUACGUGGCUCAUUGAGUGCUGUUCGGUAUCACUGAUAUGGAACCUUAUCUAGGCAUGAGAUCUUUUACUAGAUCUUUCUUUGCCCUGAUUUAGCUUCAAAAAUACGAUUGCCUAUCACGUCAUUGAUGUGGUAGACUGUAUCGGAUAUGAAUG
This 492-nucleotide unclassified non-coding RNA is filed under the name Millotia tenuifolia. RNAcentral's name for it is "partial external transcribed spacer". Lineage: Eukaryota; Viridiplantae; Streptophyta; Magnoliopsida; Asterales; Asteraceae. The record is from RNAcentral.